GACGAACGCUGGCGGCGUGCUUAACACAUGCAAGUCGAACGGAAAGGCCCUGCUUUUGUGGUGUGCUCGAGUGGCGAACGGGCGAGUAACACGUGAGUAACCUGCCCUUUACUUUGGGAUAACUUCAGGAAACUGGGGCUAAUACCGGAUAGGAGCUCCUGCUGCAUGGUGGGGGUUGGAAAGUUUCGGCGGUUGGGGAUGGACUCGCGGCUUAUCAGCUUGUUGGUGGGGUAGUGGCUUACCAAGUCUUUUACGGGUAGCCGGCCUGAGAGGGUGACCGGGCACAUUGGGACUAAGAUACGGCCCAGAAGCGUACGGGAGGCAGCAGUGGGGAAUAUUGCACAAUGGGCGGAAGCCUGAUGAAGAAACGCCGCGUGCGGGAUGACGGCCUUCGGGUUGUAAACCGCUUUCGCCUGUGACGAAGCGUGAGUGACGGUAAUGGGUAAAGAAGCACCGGCUAACUACGUG
RNAcentral lists this ribosomal RNA (468 nucleotides) under uncultured bacterium. Its description in RNAcentral is "partial 16S ribosomal RNA". It matches the Rfam family "Bacterial small subunit ribosomal RNA", at positions 28 to 507 of the family's 1533-position model. The record is from RNAcentral.